UUUGACACUAUAAUGGUCUCUUUCAUUGUUACCAAUGGGUGCAACUUGUGGAGGGAUUCCGGACAUAAUGUUUCAAAAAUAUGGAUCUUUAUCUGACACGCUGAAGUGUUUGAUACGCAAUAAAUACCUUAAACAAAACUCUGAUUCUAAUUUAAGGUAAUGGAAACAUAAAGAGACAAACAAAAAACUAAGAACAAAAGUAAUAAACACAAUUAUUUUUACCCUGGUUCG
Molecule: long non-coding RNA, 231 nt
Filed under: Lathyrus oleraceus (garden pea)
Lineage: Eukaryota; Viridiplantae; Streptophyta; Magnoliopsida; Fabales; Fabaceae
Description: Pisum sativum (pea) long non-coding RNA (PSAT_LNC025402)
Source: RNAcentral